ACGAACGCUGGCGGCGUGCCUAAUACAUGCAAGUUGAGCGCUGAAGGUUGGUACUUGUACCAACUGGAUGAGCAGCGAACGGGUGAGUAACGCGUGGGGAAUCUGCCCUUGAGCGGGGGACAACAUUUGGAAACGAAUGCUAAUACCGCAUAAAAACUUUAAACACAAGUUUUAAGUUUGAAAGAUGCAAUUGCAUCACUCAAAGAUGAUCCCGCGUUGUAUUAGCUAGUUGGUGAGGUAAAGGCUCACCAAGGCGAUGAUACAUAGCCGACCUGAGAGGGUGAUCGGCCACAUUGGGACUGAGACACGGCCCAAACUCCUACGGGAGGCAGCAGUAGGGAAUCUUCGGCAAUGGACGAAAGUCUGACCGAGCAACGCCGCGGGAGGGAAGAAGGGUUUCGGAUCGUAAAACUCUGUUGGUAGAGAAGAACGUUGGUGAGAGUGGAAAGCUCAUCAAGUGACGGUAACUACCCAGAAAGGGACGGCUAACUACGUG
RNAcentral lists this ribosomal RNA (496 nucleotides) under uncultured bacterium. RNAcentral describes it as "partial 16S ribosomal RNA". It matches the Rfam family "Bacterial small subunit ribosomal RNA", at positions 29 to 507 of the family's 1533-position model. The record is from RNAcentral.